RNAcentral lists this long non-coding RNA (1515 nucleotides) under Felis catus (domestic cat). Its description in RNAcentral is "lncRNA (ENSFCAG00000046036.2)". Lineage: Eukaryota; Metazoa; Chordata; Mammalia; Carnivora; Felidae. The record is from RNAcentral.
CCCAGGGUAACCUUUCGGACACACGAUGCCUCGGUGCAGAGGAAAAGCACCUGCUUCUUUUCAGCCAUUGGGCUGUUCUACCGAGAGCUGGGUGCACAGGUGGUUUCCAGCACCUACUCUCACGUACAAAUUAUAGCUCUUGUGUCAAAACAAGCUUUAUUCUUCUAUUUCCUGUUUGAAAAGUGAGAUUACAGUUCAGAAGGAGGGGUCCCUGCUGUGCUGGUGGUGGGAUUGGGCCACACUGGUUUCCCAGGAGAUUUGCAGAGGCGCCACCUCUGUUUGUCAUGUGUAGUUUAUCAGGGUGCUCCUCCUCCCCUGUUCUGGACCUGCCCAGAGGAUCCUCAAACAUCUGGAGGGCAGUGAAAUGAUACCCAUUUGCCAUCCCUGGUCUACUAUCAUAACGAACCUUGGAGCCUUCUGGAAGGGAACUCAUGCUUAACAGGGUGCAAAGGCUACAUUUUGGUUAAGAACCUGAGCUGGUGUUGGAGGGAGAUGUGACCCUGCUCCCAGGGCCAGGGAGAGCAAGCUGCUUAGGGUCCCCAGUCUCUGCUGCAGACAUCAGCCCCUGCCUCAGGCAGAAGCAGCCCUGGACAGGGUGUCAGUGGACACCAGCACCUGCUCGGGCAACAAUGGCGGCUACCUGCGGCGUGUUUGCACUGGGGCCCUAGACAGCAGGCCUCUGGAGCUUUGGCACAGCCCUCGUUGGGCACUUGCCGAGGUGGGGGUGCCUCUGGUGGGUGUGGCAUUGGCAGCAUCAGAAGAUUCAUCUACAAUGAACUACAGCAAGAGAGGAGGGAUGUAGUGGAACGAAUCACCUCUUAUGAAGCCCCUGAUCUCAUCCUAGAGACUCCAAAGACUACUGGGGAGAAAUGUGAAAGAACGGCAUUCUCAAAAGGAAGGAGGAAAACAAUUCUUUCUGCCUGCACUGCCUUUCCUGUCGGUCCUCCAGCCAAUUUCCAUGACGGAAUGGAAAGUAUUUCAAGGACAACUCCGCUAACCACCCACCGACGUGGGCGAAUGCCUCUCUCAGGGCCACCAUGCUUCUGGAUUCCAAAAGAUUCAGGUGGACCUGCACGCAUCCCUCUGCCAUGCACUUCUCCCAGAUCGGUAGCUGUUUACUGUCUGGGACCCCACGAGACUGUGGACACCUCUGUUUCUCAAAGUGUGGACCCCGGACCACCAGCAGCAGCAGCACCUGAGAACGGGUUGGAAAUGCAAAUUCUUGAGCCCCAUCCCAGAUCCAUUAAAUCAGAAACUCAGCAUUCUAUGUGGUCACAAUCCCUUCGGGGGAGUCUCAUAUAUGCAAAGGUUCGAGAACCAUUGAUGAAGGGUAAAGUAACUUAACUUCUCCGAGCCUCAUCUGCAAAUGGUAGUAAUUAUAUCUUCCUCACGUUAAUUGUUGUGAGUAUUUGAUAAGACAGCACAAAGAGUGAAAUAAUGGUGGCUAGGGACAGAUCUAUUGAUACAGAAAUAUAAGUUAUAAUAAAAAGCAUCAGGGCUACUCCGUUCCCUUCU